Long non-coding RNA from Lagopus muta (rock ptarmigan), 849 nucleotides. RefSeq lists it as uncharacterized. The transcript is spliced from 3 exons. The record is from RefSeq and is a predicted model, not a curated record. Lineage: Eukaryota; Metazoa; Chordata; Aves; Galliformes; Phasianidae.
GUAGGAGUGUCUCUUGGACUGCUUCCAGAAGAGGAGUGCUGUAUAGUUGGAGUGUCCCUUCACUACUUGGCACCCCAAGAGAAGUUGGUAUAGCUGACCCAAGGUCAUCUCCAGAGUAUCGUUUGCCAGAACCAAAACAUAGCAUCUUACCAGACACUGAAGAAAACAAUUCCAUCCAGCUGGAACUAAGACAACUGCAGAAAUAGAAGGAAGAAUGUAGUUUUGGAAAAUUGAUCCAAUCAAGAGGCAGUUGCAAGUGUUAGAAUCUCGUUAAUAUCCAGUCUUUUCUCCAGUGUUACACUUGCGCUUCCACGGUCCCUGUGCACCCCAAAAGUGGGUCCCCAUCUUCAAGGAGAAUGGGGGAGAUGUUCUGUGAGCUUUCUGCAUCCCCCGGUUCAUCAGUAAGAGGAGAACUGUGACUUGGAUGCUUUCUCUCCCUUACUCCAGAUUACACAUGCUGUACUCGUUUGCUUUCUUCUUAUUGUUUUUUUCUUUCACUGUGUACACAUUAACAUUUAUUCUUGGUUCUUCUUAAGCCAGUUCCUUGGUUGAGUUUUUUUUUUUAAUGACAGUAAUUAACUAUCAAUCAUUAUUUCCCUGGGGUCUCUAGUAUUAUUCUCUGGUUUUGUUUUGUUUGUUUGUUUGUUUGUUUGUUUGUGAAAACUUCUUUCCUUGGCUGAGAAUUUUGAGAGCAGUUUAGUGUUUUAUAGGUGAUGUGGGGCAUUUAAUUGUAGCUUGAACUUAGGCUUGGCCAUAGCAUUUGUUAUUUCCCUUAAAUCUAGUUACUCAUCUUGACUUCUGGAGGCUGUUUAAUUUUUGAUUCUCUCUUUUCUCAACUGAAAUAAGUAA